GUAGGUGGCAAGCGUUGUCCGGAAUUAUUGGGCGUAAAGCGCGCGCAGGCGGUCCUUUAAGUCUGAUGUGAAAGCCCACGGCUCAACCGUGGAGGGUCAUUGGAAACUGGGGGACUUGAGUACAGAAGAGGAAAGCGGAAUUCCAAGUGUAGCGGUGAAAUGCGUAGAGAUUUGGAGGAACACCAGUGGCGAAGGCGGCUUUCUGGUCUGUAACUGACGCUGAGGCGCGAAAGCGUGGGGAGCAAACAGGGAUUAGAUACCCUGGUAGUCCACGCCGUAAACGAUGAGUGCUAAGUGUUAGGGGGGUUUCCGGCCCCCCUUAGUGCUGCAGCUAACGCAUUAAGCACUCCGGCCUGGGGGAGUACGGCCGCAAGGCUG
Molecule: ribosomal RNA, 378 nt
Filed under: uncultured organism
Description: partial 16S ribosomal RNA
Rfam family: Bacterial small subunit ribosomal RNA
Source: RNAcentral